GACGAACGCUGGCGGCGUGCCUAAUACAUGCAAGUUGAGCGCUGAAGGUUGGUACUUGUACCAACUGGAUGAGCAGCGAACGGGUGAGUAACGCGUGGGGAAUCUGCCUUUGAGCGGGGGACAACAUUUGGAAACGAAUGCUAAUACCGCUUAAAAACUUUAAACACAAGUUUUAAGUUUGAAAGAUGCAAUUGCAUCACUCAAAGAUGAUCCCGCGUUGUAUUAGCUAGUUGGUGAGGUAAAGGCUCACCAAGGCGAUGAUACAUAGCCGACCUGAGAGGGUGAUCGGCCACAUUGGGACUGAGACACGGCCCAAACUCCUACGGGAGGCAGCAGUAGGGAAUCUUCGGCAAUGGACGAAAGUCUGACCGAGCAACGCCGCGUGAGUGAAGAAGGUUUUCGGAUCGUAAAACUCUGUUGGUAGAGAAGAACGUUGGUGAGAGUGGAAAGCUCAUCAAGUGACGGUAACUACCCAGAAAGGGACGGCUAACUACGUG
Molecule: ribosomal RNA, 497 nt
Filed under: uncultured bacterium
Lineage: Bacteria
Description: partial 16S ribosomal RNA
Rfam family: Bacterial small subunit ribosomal RNA
Source: RNAcentral